RNAcentral lists this ribosomal RNA (361 nucleotides) under uncultured fungus. RNAcentral's name for it is "eukaryotic LSU rRNA". The stretch from base 1 to 71 matches the Rfam family "5.8S ribosomal RNA", at positions 84 to 154 of the family's 154-position model. The record is from RNAcentral. Lineage: Eukaryota; Fungi.
GUGAAUCAUCGAGUCUUUGAACGCACCUUGCGCCCCUUGGCAUUCCGAGGGGCACACCCAUUUGAGUGUCGUGAAAUCUUCAAAAACCCUCUCUUUUGAGGGGGAUUUUUGGACUUUGGAGGUUCAAUGCUCGCUUUCGCCUUUUAGAAAGCGAGCUCCUCUCAAACGAAUCAGUGGGGUCUGCUUUGCCGGUCCUUGACGUGAUAAGAUCUUUCUACGUUUUGGAUUCGACAUCGUCCCGCUUCCAAUCGUCCCACGGACAAAGGAUGGUGCUCCGGUCGCGGCCGGACCCACCAAAAAAACCUUGACCUCAAAUCGGGUGAGACUACCCGCUGAACUUAAGCAUAUCAAUAAGGCGAGG